RNAcentral lists this ribosomal RNA (508 nucleotides) under uncultured bacterium. RNAcentral's name for it is "bacterial SSU rRNA". It matches the Rfam family "Bacterial small subunit ribosomal RNA", at positions 8 to 524 of the family's 1533-position model. The record is from RNAcentral.
AGAGUUUGAUCCUGGCUCAGGACGAACGCUGGCGGCGUGCUUAACACAUGCAAGUCGAACGAUGAAGCCUAGCUUGCUAGGUGGAUUAGUGGCGAACGGGUGAGUAAUACGUGAGUGACCUACCUUUGACUCUGGGAUAAGCCUGGGAAACUGGGUCUAAUACCGGAUACGACCAAUCUCCGCAUGGGGUGUUGGUGGAAAGCGUUAUGGAGUGGUUUUAGAUGGGCUCACGGCCUAUCAGCUUGUUGGUGAGGUAAUGGCUUACCAAGGCGACGACGGGUAGCCGGCCUGAGAGGGUGACCGGCCACACUGGGACUGAGACACGGCCCAGACUCCUACGGGAGGCAGCAGUGGGGAAUAUUGCACAAUGGGCGCAAGCCUGAUGCAGCGACGCCGCGUGAGGGAUGACGGCCUUCGGGUUGUAAACCUCUGUUAGCAUCGAAGAAGCGAAAGUGACGGUAGGUGCAGAGAAAGCGCCGGCUAACUACGUGCCAGCAGCCGCGGUAAU